CCAUCUAGAUGGGAGGUGCAGGGUGGGUGGAUGAACUAUAGUGCUGGCUGGCAGAGGGCAGGGUGUAGAGCGGUAUUGGGGUUCACUUUGGAAAACAAAAUUUGAUAGUAGGAUUUGAUGGUUCUUUGGAGAAGGGAACAUAUAAAAGGUAGGGUCUUGCUAAGUUGCCCAGGCUGGCCUCAAAUGUUUGAUCUUCCUGCCUCAGCCUCUUUGGUGCUAGGAUUACAGGUUGUCCUGGAACUCACUGUGUAACCCAGGCAGGACUUGAACUUGUGAUCCUCCCACCUGCCUCCUGAUUACAAGAAUUACCUGGGAUUAUAGACUUGCGGCUACAGCAGAUUUCUGGCUCAAGCUGACCCCAAGAUGCCAGUGUGCAGACUUCUGAGACAACCAGGUCCCUCAGGAGCCAUCAUUCACAGCUGUGCAAAGGCUGGUGGGCACAGCUGGGAUGGUAGGUGGUUGUCUCCCAUCAGCAAGAGUUUAUGGAAGAGAUCUUGUCUGCAAGAGGAGGAGGAGAAAAAAGGCAGAGGAAUCCCUCACUUCAAAUGAGGUUAUGGAGAUGCGUAAAAUGUGGGCAACAGUGCAAAAUUUUGUGGAAAAACACCACCCGAAUAAAGCUGUAGCAGUGCGAG
This 632-nucleotide long non-coding RNA is filed under the name Heterocephalus glaber (naked mole-rat). Its description in RNAcentral is "lncRNA (ENSHGLG00100045300.1)". The record is from RNAcentral. Lineage: Eukaryota; Metazoa; Chordata; Mammalia; Rodentia; Bathyergidae.